GCUCGCCCAGCCAAAUGUCAAGCCUGCCGUAAGGAACUUCGUUCCAAUAAUAAAGUAAUAGUAAUAAUAGAUAACACAUCCGCGGUAUUUUCAUCUGUGCGAAUAUAUUCUAUGUCAAAGUCGUAAGCCGAUAAUUUAAUCUUGAAUAAUACGCCAGGAACGUUUUUAAGCGGAAUAACCAUACAUUUUUGAAAAAUUCCAUUACUGGAUGAUAGUCAAUAUACGAGGCGAUUUUAAUAGACCUCGAGCCUAAUUGAGCGUUACCUUAUAAUCUGCGCACAAACGAAUCCCGCCGUUCGCCUUCCUCGCUAUAGCGAGGCGUCCAGCCA
This 329-nucleotide unclassified non-coding RNA is filed under the name Melitaea cinxia (Glanville fritillary). RNAcentral describes it as "misc RNA ENSMCXG00005011658.1". Lineage: Eukaryota; Metazoa; Arthropoda; Insecta; Lepidoptera; Nymphalidae. The record is from RNAcentral.